AACGAACGCUGGCGGCAUGCCUAACACAUGCAAGUCGAACGAGACCUUCGGGUCUAGUGGCGCACGGGUGCGUAACGCGUGGGAACCUGCCCGUAGGUUCGGAAUAACUCCCCGAAAGGGGUGCUAAUACCGGAUAAGGUCUUCGGACCAAAGAUGUAUCGCCUUUGGAUGGGGCCGGGUUGGAUUAGCUAGUUGGUAGGGUAAAAGCCUACCAAGGCGACGAUCCAUAGCUGGUCUGAGAGGAUGACCAGCCACACUGGGACUGAGACACGGCCCAGACUCCUACGGGAGGCAGCAGUAGGGAAUAUUAGACGAUGAGCGAAAGCCUGAUCCAGCAAUGCCGCGUGAGUGAUGAAGGCCUUAGGGUUGUAAAGCUCUUUUACCCGGGAUGAUAAUGACAGUACCGGGUGAAUAAGCACCGGCUAACUACGUG
This 433-nucleotide ribosomal RNA is filed under the name uncultured bacterium. Its description in RNAcentral is "partial 16S ribosomal RNA". It matches the Rfam family "Bacterial small subunit ribosomal RNA", at positions 29 to 507 of the family's 1533-position model. The record is from RNAcentral.